Molecule: ribosomal RNA, 253 nt
Filed under: uncultured bacterium
Lineage: Bacteria
Description: partial 16S ribosomal RNA
Rfam family: Bacterial small subunit ribosomal RNA
Source: RNAcentral
UACGUAGGGGGCAAGCGUUAUCCGGAUUUACUGGGUGUAAAGGGAGCGUAGACGGUCUGGCAAGUCUGAUGUGAAAGGCAGGGGCUCAACUCCUGGACUGCAUUGGAAACUGUCAGUCUUGAGUGUCGGAGAGGUAAGCGGAAUUCCUAGUGUAGCGGUGAAAUGCGUAGAUAUUAGGAGGAACACCAGUGGCGAAGGCGGCUUACUGGACGAUAACUGACGUUGAGGCUCGAAAGCGUGGGGAGCAAACAGG